This 253-nucleotide ribosomal RNA is filed under the name uncultured bacterium. RNAcentral describes it as "partial 16S ribosomal RNA". It matches the Rfam family "Bacterial small subunit ribosomal RNA", at positions 524 to 776 of the family's 1533-position model. The record is from RNAcentral.
AACGUAGGAGGCAAGCGUUAUCCGGAUUCACUGGGCGUAAAGCGCGUGCAGGCGGUUCGGUAAGUUGGGCGUGAAAUCUCCUGGCUCAACUGGGAGAGGUCGUCCAAUACUACCGGGCUAGAGAGCAGUAGAGGAAGAUGGAAUUCCCGGUGUAGUGGUGAAAUGCGUAGAUAUCGGGAGGAACACCAGUGGCGAAGGCGGUCUUCUGGACUGUUUCUGACGCUCAGACGCGAAAGCUAGGGGAGCAAACGGG